GACUAAGUACUGGCUUGCCCAACAUACUGUCUGCGAUGAGCAUCUUCCCCCUAGCACAAAGACCCCUUUCCCCGAAGAUUCCAAUCCCCGGAGUCCCGAACUCUCCUCUCCUUCUUCCCAAGCUUAUACAGCGGGAACCUGGUUUUCGGAAUUCGAGGGGCCUCUAGUGUUGAAAACUGCCAAGCUUUUUUUUGCCUCUUUGUUUUGUUCAACAUGUGAUGCUCUGCCACCAUUCCUGAUUCGCCGUUGCAUCAUCAAUCCAAACUCUGUCCAAAUUGACUACAAUAGCUUUCCUGUCACUAGCAAUAGUUGAAAGAAAAACAUUGGGCAUUUGGCGACCCCUGCACUCUUGUAAACAAAUGGAAUCCACCUUCGCUUACCUUUUAUAACACAAUAAUGAUGACAGCCUUUUUGUUAGGAUCACUGUCUAACCCCCAGGAGAAAUCUUUCUUUUUAUGCUUGAUUUUUGCCAAAUUUGCUUCUUCUGCUUCUUCUUGGUUACCAAAGUCAAAUCAUCCAAGGCUAAUUAUUCUCUCACUCAAUAGGGUCUCUUGGGAAUCAGUGAU
RNAcentral lists this long non-coding RNA (566 nucleotides) under Amborella trichopoda. RNAcentral's name for it is "long non-coding RNA (ATRI_LNC004235)". The record is from RNAcentral. Lineage: Eukaryota; Viridiplantae; Streptophyta; Magnoliopsida; Amborellales; Amborellaceae.